RNAcentral lists this long non-coding RNA (459 nucleotides) under Gossypium barbadense (sea-island cotton). RNAcentral's name for it is "long non-coding RNA (GBAR_LNC007945)". Lineage: Eukaryota; Viridiplantae; Streptophyta; Magnoliopsida; Malvales; Malvaceae. The record is from RNAcentral.
UCGGAAUAAAGGACUACCUAUUACUUGGUGUUCAAGUUGUAAUUUCUAUAUGAUUCAUGCCGCAAGUUUCCAUACAAUUUCCAAAGUGGACCACAGGUAUUUCCUUCUUCCAUAUUUUAAUAGAUGGUACUAUAAUUUGUUUGUCUUUAUGUAGGCCGCCAUUAAUGACCAUUGGCUCAUCAUCAGGUAAGGAAAAUGGAGAAGGGUAAAAGCAAGGUGACGUCAGACAAUUUGUUGAGAGGAGUAGAAAUAAAAGUUUAAUUUUUAAUAGUUUAUAUCUAUAUUAUUUUUAAAUAAUUAAAUAAUUAAAUUAAAUUUUUAUAAUUUUAGGGGAUCAAAGUGUAAUUUUAUUUUAUUAAUUUAAAUUUUUUAAAUUUUCUAAAGAAUCAAAACAACACUUUUCUAUUUUAGGGGAUGGCAUUCGCUUCUAGGUAAAAGACUAGCACCAUUUAGAAAUGU